GGACCUGAAUCAAACAAGAC
Molecule: ribosomal RNA, 20 nt
Filed under: Saprolegnia ferax
Lineage: Eukaryota; Oomycota; Saprolegniomycetes; Saprolegniales; Saprolegniaceae
Description: partial 28S ribosomal RNA
Source: RNAcentral